This is a non-coding RNA of Arvicanthis niloticus (Nile rat), 4808 nucleotides long. The record is from RefSeq and is a predicted model, not a curated record. NCBI's taxonomy places the organism in Eukaryota, Metazoa, Chordata, Mammalia, Rodentia, Muridae.
CGACCUCAGAUCAGACGUGGCGACCCACUGAAUUUAAGCAUAUUAGUCAGUGGAGGAAAAGAAACUAACCAGGAUUCCCUCAGUAGUGGCGAGUGAACAGGGAAGAGCCCAGCGCCGAGUCCCCACCGCGAGCACGGUGCGGGACAUGUGGCAUACGGAAGACCCACUCCCCGGUGUCGCUUAUGGGGGGGGCAAGUCCUUCUGAUUGAGGCCCAGCCUGUGGACGGUGUGAGGCCGAUACCGGCCCCCGGUGCCCGGGCCCAGGUCUUCCCGGAGUCGGGUUGCUUGGGAAUGCAGCCCAAAGCAGGUGGUAAACUCCAUCUAAGGCAAGAGACACAUAGUCAACAAGUACCGUAAGGGAAAGUUGAAAAGAACUUUGAAGAGAGAGUUCAAGAGGGUGUGAAACUGUUAAGAGGUAAACGGGUGGGGUACGCACAGUCCACCUGGAGGAUUCAACCCGGCGGCGUGCAUUCGGCCGUGCCAGCGGUCCCGGCGGAUCUUUCCCGCUCCCGGUUCCUCCCGACCCCUUCGCGCGAGUAGUUCCUGCGUCCCGCCACCACCCUCAUCCCCCGCUUCCCCUCUGGGGGAGUGUCGUUGGCGGGCGUGAGGUGUGGUGCGGGGGCGGGGGCGGCAGGGGACCACCCCUGGCUGGCGACUGGCCGCUACGGGGUGGACUUCCACCAAGGCAGUGCGCCUGGAUCGGCUGCAGGACGGUUGGGAAGGUGGCUGGGGGGGGCGUACCACAUGUGGGGGCACCGAAUCACCCCUCCCCGAGUGUUACAGCACCCUGGCAGCAGCGCUCGCCGAAUUUCGGGGCCAAAGAAUCCAGAUAUCCGUCGCCGCGCUCUCCCCCUCCUCCUCCUCCAUGUGGGGAGGAGGGGACCAGACCGCCCCUCCCAUGGUGCGACCGCUCUCCCACCCCUCUUGGCUUUCCUCCCUCUCGGGGGCGGUGGUCCGGGGGGCUGGGCGGACUGUCCCAGUGCGCCCAGGGCGUUGUCGCGUCAUCAGGCUCAAAGGGGACCCUGUGUCACGCGCUUUUUUAUCGGAGCCCGAGCACUUGGGGUUGGCGGAGAUGUCGGCCACCCACCCGACCCGUCUUGAAACACGGACCAAGUAGUCUAACGCAUGUACUGUGUCGGAGGCUCGUCCGAAAGCCGCCGUGGCUCAAUGAAGGUGAAGGGCCCCACCCGGGUCCCUGAGGUGGGAUCCCAAGGCCUCUCCAGUCCGCGGAAGGCGCACCACCGGCCUGUCUUGCCUGCGGCACAGGGGGGGUGUGGAGCACAAGCGUAUGCGUUAGGACACGAAAGAUGGUGAACUAUGCCUGGGCAGGGCGAAGCCAGAGGAAACUCUGGUGGAGGUCGGUAGCGGUCCUGACGUGCAAAUCGGUCAUCCGACCUGGGUAAAGGGGAGAAAGACUAAUCGAACCAUCUAGUAGCUGGUUCCCUCCAAAGUUUCCCUCAGGAUAGCUGGCGCUCUAGCAGAAAUUGAAAUGCCUGCAGUUUUAUCUGGUAAAGCGAAUGAUUAGAUGUCUUGGGGCCGAAACGAUCUCAACCUAUUCUCAAACUUUAAAUGGGUAAGAAGCCCGGCUCCCUGGCGUGGAGCCGGGCGUGGAAUCCGAACACCGGGUUAAGGCGCCCGAUGCCGACGCUCAUCAGACCCCAGAAAAGGUGUUAGUUGAUAAAGACAGCAGGACGGUGGCCAUGGAAGUCGGAAUCUGCUAAGGAGUGUGUAACAACUCACCUGCCGAAUCAACUAGCCCCUGAAAAUGGAUGGCGCUGGAGCGUCGGGCCCAUACCAGGCUGUCGCCGGCAGUUGGAAUGGGACUGGAGUGGCCGCGGGCGCACGUCUCCCGGCGGGCAUGGUGGGCGUUGCAUGCCGCCACCCCUCGGGUCUUGCCCCCGAGGUGUUGGGCCCCUGGACGCUACGCCUCAACGAGUGGGGGGGGCCGCUGCGGUGAGCCUUGACGCCUAGGGCGCCGGCCCGGGUGGAGCCACCGCAGGUGCAGAUCUUGGUGGUAAUAGCAAAUAUUCAAACUAGAACGUUGAAGGCCAAAGUGGAGAAAGAUUCCAUGUGAACAGCAGUUGAACAUGGGUCAGUCAUUCCUGAGAGAUGGGCGAGUGCCGUUCCGAAGGGACGGGCGAUGGCCUCCAUUGCCCUCGGCUGAUCGAAAGGGAGUCGGGUUCAGAUCCCCGAAUCCGGAGUUGCAGAGACGGGUGCCGAGAGGCGUCCAGUACAGUAACGCGACAGAUCCCGGAGAAGCCUGCGGGAGCCCCGGGGAGAGUUCUCUUUUCUUUGUGAAGGGCAGGGCGCCCUGGAAUGGGUUCACCCCGAGAGAGGGGCCCGUGCCUUGGAAAGCAUCGCGGUUCUGGCGGCGUCCAGUGAGCUCUCGCCGGCCCUUGACUAUCUGGGGGAGAAGGUGUAAAUCUCGCGCUGGGCCGUACCCAUAUCUGCAGCAGGUCUCCAAGGUGAACAGCCUCUGGCAUGUUGGAACAAUGUAGGUAAGGAAAGUCAGCAAGCUGGAUCCAUAACUUCGGGAUAAGGAUUGGCUCUAAGGGCUGGGUCAGUCAGGCUGGGGCAAGAAGCGGGGCUGGGCACGCCGCAGCUGGACGAGGCGCCACCGCCCUCUCCCAUGCCUGGGGAGACCCCCUUCCCUUUCCUGGCCACCCAGGCCCACCCUCACCUCUCCCCAAGAGACCCCCAUUGUUUCUCCCCCUCGCCGGGUGUGGGGGCCGGCGGGUUCAGCCCCUCGCAGGCUGGAGCAGGAGGAACCCAUGGGUCCCCGUUCAGUUCGGGGGGGGGAGUCCCGGACACUCGGGGGGGGGGCAGCGGCGGCGACUCUGGAUGAGAGCCGGCCCUUCCCAUGGAUCGUCCCAGCUGCAGCGGGCAUUGCGCUUGUACCUGGGGAGACUGGCGGGUCACUGGCACACGGGGUUGGAGAGGUUCUGGAGUGGGACCCUGGGGCUUCUCUCAUGGUCCCGGCGGCGCUGUGUGUCUUGCCCCCGCGACCCUCUGUGGGGAAAAAAGGCUUGGGGAUCCCGCGGUUCUUCCUGCCAUGCUGUGGGUAGUCGGCUGGGAACGCUCUGGGUUUCUCCAGCUGGAAGUUGGGCCCAGCUGUUCAUUAACUAAAAGUCUCUCCCUGGCUCCUCACGGUUCCUCAUAGCGGCGCAGGCCCAACACACGAAGAAGUCCUUGGGUUUCCAAAACUGGUUUAUUCACAUGGCGAAUUGUGGAUGGAUCUGGAUGCAUACCCCUCAAACCCAGGAUCGACCUGAGUUAAAAAGGGGAGGGGAGAAGGGGGGGAGGGGCUGGGGAGGAAUGUUUAAUCGGCUCCACCUCUGGCCUUCAGGUAUGUAAAUCUCUCUAGGGCCUGUUCACGCCCUCCACCUGUGUACAUGACUGAAGGGUGGAGGUGAAAUGGAGAUUAGACCUUGUGUUAGGCCCAACAACCCUCCCCACGCCGGCACUUCCCCUGCUGGGUCCACUCCCCCGGGUCGCGGUUUUUCCCCGAGAGGCGCCUCACCUAGGCUGGCGCCUAGCAGCCGACUUAGAACUGGUGCGGGCCAGGGGAAUCCGACUGUUUAAUUAAAACAGAGCAUCACAGAAGGCCCGCGGCGGUGUUGACACGAUGUGAUUUCUGCCUAGUGCUCUGAUUGUCAAAGUGAAGAAAUUCAAUGAUGUGCGGGUAAACGGCGGGAGUAACUAUGACUCUCUUAAGGUAGCCAAAUGCCUUGUCAUCUAAUUAGUGAUGCGCAUGAAUGGAUGAACAUGAUUCCCACUGUCCCUACCUACUAUCCAGAGAAACCACAGCCAAGGGAACGGGCUUGGCGGAAUCAGCGGGGAAAGAAGACCCUGUUGAGCUUGACUCUAGUCUGGCACCGUGAAGAGACAUGAUAGGUGUGGGAUAAGUGGGAGGCCCUUGGCGUCCUGUUUCCGUUUUUCCACGAGGGGUUGGGGCAGGGGGUCCGCCGGCCUUGCAGGCCGCCGGUGAAAUACCACUACUGUCAUCGUUUUUUCACUGACCCGGUGAGGCGGGGGUGGGGGGAGACGAGCCUCGAGGGUCUCUUGCUUCUGACGCCAAGCGCCCGCCCGUCCGCGCUUGGGUGUCCUAAGGCGAGCUCAGGGAGGACGGAAACCUCCCAUGGAGCAGAAGGGCAAAAGCUCACUUGAUCUUGAUUUUCAGUAUGAAUACAGACCGUGAAAGUGGGGCCUCACGAUCCUUCUGACCUUUUGGGUUUUAAGCAGGAGGUGUCACAAAAGUUACCAUAGGGAUAAUUGGCUUGUGGCAGCCAAGCGUUGAUAGCGUCGCUUGUUGAUCCUUCGAUGUCGGCUCUUCCUAUCAUUGUGAAGCAGAAUUCACCAAGCGUUGGAUUGUUCACCCACUAAUAGGGAACGUGAGCUGGGUUUAGACUGUCGUGAGACAGGUUAGUUUUACCCUACUGAUGAUGUGUUGUUGCCAUGGUAAUCCUACUCAGUAAGAGAGGAACCGCAGGUUCAGACAUUUGGUGUAUGUGCUUGGCUGAGGAGCCAAUGGGGCGAAGCUACCAUCUGUGGGAUUAUGACUGAACACCUCUAAGUCCCCCCAUGGGUGUCGGGACUGGGGUCUGGUGUAGAGAGCCACUCAUCCCAGGAAAUGGGGUGCGGCCGGAAAGGGGGCCACCCUCUCAUCAAUCACGCUGAUCACACGUUUGUGUGGAACCUGGCGCUAAACCAUUCGUAGAAGACCUAUUUCUGGGUCGGGGUUUUGUACGUAGCAGAGCAGCUCCCUCGCUGUGAUCUAUUGAAAGUCAGCCCUCAACACAAGGUUUUGU